AUUAUAUCUCUAAAAUAUGGAUUCCAUUUUAUUUUCAGAAUUGAAAUGAUCAACUUGACAGGUGACAAACCUAUGUAUUGUCGAGACCAAAAACAUCAUCACGGUAUACUUUCCAUUUCAAGAGGUGCUGGGGCUUGAAUCCUGGAAAAGAUUAAACAUUUCUAAUACCAGAUUUCUACCUCCCUGGACUAUUGUGAAGAUACUUUGAAGAGUCAUAUGAUUUAGCUCUUCAAGAUCCUCAAGGGAAAAGCUAUUACAUAAUCUGUGAUGGCCAAUCUAUAUUUCUAGAUUCAUUGCCCCAGAUGAUGAUAUAUUGGAUCUGAUAUUAAACACUAUGGUCUCCUGGAAUCCUUGAGAUUUUUUUCCAAAACACAGCAUCUAUAAAAGAUUGCCAAGAAAAUCUGUUGCCUGAAUCUGCAACUUCAAGGACAGAGGGGAGGCACUUCAGUCUCCAGGCGAUCCUGGAGGGAAGACAAAGAAUGGCAAUAAUGCCGAGUGGAAUCAGCAUGAAUUAGGAAAGGACAAAGAGACAAGCACAGGGAGGAUGGUUCAGAAAGAGAACAAGAGAAAUAUUAACUAUGAUACAAAGAGUCCUGCAGCAUGGCCUAGAGUGACUGCUGCAAAGAAGGAAGGGAGUAUAGAAACCUAGCAAGUCAUUUGGAUGGACCUGGUGAGGUCUGGGUAUCAAGAGGAGGAUGAGAAGGGAGACUGUGAAACAUGGCUCCUGUCAUGGCUUAUAUGAACAGUCGCUUGGUGCUUUGUAAUUAGCUUACCACUUGAUUUUUGGACCCAAGCAGAUUUUUCUACUUAAAGUUCUUUUCAAAAACAUAUGGGCAGCUAUGAAUACUGCUCUGCUUCAGCAAUUUUACAAGUUCCAUUUUGUCAAGAUGCAUUUUUGAUUUAAAAGAUUAAGAAAAAUUGGAGGCAAAUACAUCAUUGUUACUGAUAUUCCCAUUUAGUUUAUGGUUCAGUUUGUCGAGGGUAAUCUUGUGGAAUCAUUUUGGUGUCUAUAUUUUCUGAAGUUCCAAGAGGAUUAAGGCCAGGGAUUCCAGGGAUGGAAACAAUGGUCCAAGAAACAGUGGAG
This 1084-nucleotide long non-coding RNA is filed under the name Ornithorhynchus anatinus (platypus). RNAcentral describes it as "lncRNA (ENSOANG00000049932.1)". Lineage: Eukaryota; Metazoa; Chordata; Mammalia; Monotremata; Ornithorhynchidae. The record is from RNAcentral.